Small nucleolar RNA from Malania oleifera, 106 nucleotides. The record is from RefSeq and is a predicted model, not a curated record. Lineage: Eukaryota; Viridiplantae; Streptophyta; Magnoliopsida; Santalales; Ximeniaceae.
ACUUGGUGGUGUGGGCAUUUAUGCAAGAGGUCCCAUAAGCACUCUCAUGUCUCAGAAAAUUGUUCCUCAUCCAAUUGUGAGAAACUAGUGAUUGCCUUCCUCAGCU